GAUUGCAGGCUGCAACCCGCCCUGCAUGAAGUCGGAAUUGCUAGUAAUCGCGGAUCAGCAUGCCGCGGUGAAUACGUUCCCGGGCCUUGUACACACCGCCCGUCACACCAUGGGAGCCGGUAAUACCCGAAGUCAGUAGUCCAACCUCGUGAGGACGCUGCCGAAGGUAGGAUUGGCGACUGGGGUGAAGUCGUAACAAGGUAGC
Molecule: ribosomal RNA, 205 nt
Filed under: uncultured bacterium
Lineage: Bacteria
Description: partial 16S ribosomal RNA
Rfam family: Bacterial small subunit ribosomal RNA
Source: RNAcentral